RNAcentral lists this ribosomal RNA (913 nucleotides) under uncultured bacterium. RNAcentral describes it as "bacterial SSU rRNA". It matches the Rfam family "Bacterial small subunit ribosomal RNA", at positions 20 to 904 of the family's 1533-position model. The record is from RNAcentral.
UGGCUCAGAAUGAACGCUGGCGGCGUGNUUAACACAUGCAAGUNGCACGAGAACGCUUCAGCUUGCUGAGGCUAGUAAAGUGGCGCACGGGUGAGUNACGCGUGGGUAAUCUGCCUNUGAAUUGGGGAUAACACUGCGAAAGCGGUGCUAAUACCGAAUAACAUUCCUUGGACCCCGGUUUAAGAAAUCAAAGGUGGCCUCUACAUGUAAGCUACCGUUUGGAGAUGAGCCCGCGUACCAUUAGCUUGUUGGUGGGGUAACGGCCCACCAAGGCGACGAUGGUUAGCUGGUCUGAGAGGAUGAUCAGCCACACUGGAACUGACACACGGUCCAGACUCCUACGGGAGGCAGCAGUGAGGAAUUUUGCGCAAUGGGGGAAACCCUGACGCAGCAACGCCGCGUGAGUGAUGAAGGCCUUCGGGUCGUAAAGCUCUGUCAAGCGGGAAGAACCUGCCUUGUGAUAAUACCACGAGACACUGACGGUACCGCUGAAGGAAGCACCGGCUAACUCCGUGCCAGCAGCCGCGGUAAUACGGGGGGUGCAAGCGUUAUUCGGAAUCAUUGGGCGUAAAGGGCGCGUAGGCGGCCUCUUAAGUCAGAUGUGAAAGCCCUCGGCUCAACCGAGGAAGUGCAUUUGAAACUGGGGGGCUUGAGUAUGGGAGAGGGAAGCGGAAUUCCUGGUGUAGCGGUGAAAUGCGUAGAUAUCAGGAGGAACACCGGUGGCGAAGGCGGCUUCCUGGACCAGUACUGACGCUGAGGCGCGAAGGCGUGGGGAGCAAACAGGAUUAGAUACCCUGGUAGUCCACGCAGUAAACGGUGAACACUAGGUGUAGCGGGUAUUGACCCCUGCUGUGCCGAAGCUAACGCAUUAAGUGUUCCGCCUGGGAAGUACGGCCGCAAGGUUAAAACUCAA